RNAcentral lists this ribosomal RNA (422 nucleotides) under uncultured prokaryote. Its description in RNAcentral is "bacterial SSU rRNA". It matches the Rfam family "Bacterial small subunit ribosomal RNA", at positions 355 to 774 of the family's 1533-position model. The record is from RNAcentral.
UGAGGAAUAUUGGACAAUGGGCGCAAGCCUGAUCCAGCCAUGCCGCGUGCAGGAUGAAGCAUCUAUGGUGUGUAAACUGCUUUUGUACAGGAAGAAACCCUGCCACGUGUGGCAGAUUGACGGUACUGUAAGAAUAAGGAUCGGCUAACUCCGUGCCAGCAGCCGCGGUAAUACGGAGGAUCCAAGCGUUAUCCGGAAUCAUUGGGUUUAAAGGGUCCGUAGGCGGGCUAAUAAGUCAGUGGUGAAAUCUUCCAGCUCAACUGGGAAAUGGCCAUUGAUACUGUUAGUCUUGAAUUAUUAGGAAGUAACUAGAAUAUGUAGUGUAGCGGUGAAAUGCUUAGAGAUUACAUGGAAUACCAACUGCGAAGGCAGGUUACUACUAAUGGAUUGACGCUGAUGGACGAAAGCGUGGGUAGCGAACA